Felis catus (domestic cat) is the source of this 6065-nucleotide long non-coding RNA. RefSeq lists it as uncharacterized. The transcript is spliced from 7 exons. NCBI's taxonomy places the organism in Eukaryota, Metazoa, Chordata, Mammalia, Carnivora, Felidae. The record is from RefSeq and is a predicted model, not a curated record.
UCAUUUCAGUUUCUGUUCCCUAUGCUGGAAAUGGCAAAAGUGAGGCCCCGAACUUAGAAGACUAAGCUUGGGUUUAGUAAGCUUUUUACCAGAAGAGGGUAAAAAAACUCAAGCUUAGUACUCCCACUUUGGGGGCCUUUCAACCUCAAAAUGUGAACCCUGAGGAGCCUUCUCAGUCCACCCUUCGUCCUCUCAUACAACCUAAGGGGUUCCCACAAGCCUAAGACUUUCCAAAAAUGUAGAAACAAACUCCUCUUAUCGAAGCCCAAUCUUGCCUUCGUGCCAGAGACUACUUGUCUCCUACCUUUGCCGUGCUCCUGGGCUCUGUCUCCCUGCCCUCUGCCUCCGCCUCAAUCUCACACACAUAGCUGAGAGUUCUUCAAAAAUGAGCUGCUAUAUUCAUUUAAAGAUGCCCCCAGGUGAGUGGGGCAAAUAUAAAGAGAAGAACUACCUCCUGGGAACUAGGCCCUUGACAAACACUAUUGCAAAUAAAAUACCUCUGCAAAUGGAUCGUUAUUCCCAUUUUACAGAAACAGAAACUGAGGCUCAGAGAAUAUAACCAACUUACAUCCUAAGUCACACUCCUAAAAAGUGAUGGGAUGGGAUUUGAAGCCCAGAGCCAUAGAUCCUGAGGGCCACACUUUCCAACCACAGUACAUGCUAUAAACUGAAUGUUGGUGUAUUCCCAAAAUUUCUAUGUUGAAGCCCCAACCCCCAUUAUGAUGGUAUUUGAAGAUGGGGCCUUCGGGAGGUAAUUAUGGUCAGAUGAGGUCAUGAGGGUGGGGCCUUCAUGAUGGGAUUAGAAAGACCAGCGUUCUGAGGACAAAAGAAGAAGGUGCCUAUCUCCCUAUCAGGAAGAGAGCUCUCAACAGAAAGUGAAGCCAGCACCUGGAUCUUAGACUUGCAGCCUCCAGAAAUGUUUAAGUCCCAGCUGCUCUUUGUGGACCAGGACUGAACAUAUCUUUGUACCCUCCACCUCCAACACGAGGCCUGGAACUUGACAGGCCAAGGCUAUUGUGAGCAUGGAACUGUGUGACACUCCACCAUCUCAUCCAAGUGGACUAUGCAAGAUUUCCAUCUCCCCAUUUCCACGUGGCAAAUGUAAAGCAAAUAAGAUUUGAAGCCUCCAAUAGACUGAAAAAUGUCAACCCAGAUUUCUCCCCACCAAAACCAACCAACCAACCAACCAGAGAAAUUCCACAUGUUAGAAACUCCCCAUGAGCUUGGAUCCAAAGAUUCGGUGAUAUCCAGCUGGCAGUCUAUGCCAGAUUUGUCAAAGUGAGUCCCAAGGCUCCUAAAGAAGCGUUAAUCUUCUGUCAGGAGUACCAACUCCAAUAGGGCCUCAACAAGCAAAUUAUGUUCCGGAGAUUUUAGGGCCCAAUGGUGGUAAAAUGUUUAUCACUCUAAUGGCUUUGAAGUGUAAACAGACUUCAUAUCAACACAGUGAUUCUUCUUAUACACACAUUCGGGCUUUUACAUUGUGCUUAAGUUGGCAGGCUUAAAAGUAGAUUAGUGAGUUUCAAGAGUUAGGGUUUUCCCAGGAAAAGCACAUUUAUUGAGCCAGUUGGUCAGUCACUGAUCUAAAACAAUUGUUUUACCUUAGAAAUUUUAGACCCUGAGAUGUCUUAAGGGUGUCUGAGAUCCAGAAAUUCUCCCUUGAACACAAUCCAAGAAGGGCCAAUAAAUAAACCUGAUUCAUGGCAAGAGGCAUUACAUUCAGAAAAAGACCCACACAUCACAAUAAUCCACUCGAUUACUGGAGGCAGGAACGUAGAUCAGGGAUGUAAACUGGCAGUGGAUUAAAAGGAAAAAAAACCCACAAUAAUGUCUAAUAUUGAGAUAGCACAGCUCUCAAUAAUUCAAAGCACAUGCGCUUCUAUUGUGUUACCUUAACCUAGCCAGAAGCCUGUAAAGGCAGGUAUAAGGAGGGCUAGUAACCGCAUUUUAAAAAGGAAAAAAGUUUAAAGAGGCAAAUUAUUGACUUGGCCAAGGCUAUUUAGGCAAUCGAUGAAAGCCAGAUUCAUAACCCAGUCUCCCACCUAAGGAAGUCAACUUGCCUAUGACAGUGACUAGUGGUAACCAAGCCAGUAAGGAAGAUUCAAAACCAGCAGCUAAAUCAAAGAUGUUAACUGGGUGUUCAAGAAUCCUCCUUGUGACUCAAGGAUCAAGGAAAGACCAAGAAAACAAGUCUCUCCCACGAGUUAAGUUCAGAACCCAAAGCUCUUUCUUUCCUCAGAAAAAAAAGCUACAAGCAUUUCACCUGCCUUCUGAAAGGAGGCAAGAGAGAGUCCAAGUGCUACAUCCUCUUACCUAUACCUUCUUACUUCACCCCAUGUCAGAUGCUGGGGAACCACCACAAACCAGGGAGCUGCCCUGUGAAGCUUAGCAUCUCUCUCCCUCUCUUAUCCCCAACUAUAGAGAGAAUAGCAGUAAGUCGAACAACACUCCACUUCUCCAAAAAAGUUUAUACACAUGCGUGAGCAUUCCAUACAAUGUAUGUAAUAAACUGGAAGAGCACCCAAGUAAAUAAAGAACAGAUCAAAAGGGAGGUAUGAGGCAGCCACAUUCAACUCUGCACUUGAAAAUUUAAAUGAAUACUCCUUGAGAGCAAACUACAAAAUGCUAACCUUGAAGUGCUGAGUGGCAGGAAGAAUUAUGGGUUAUUGUACUGUCAAAAUGCCAGACAGCUGUAUGUUGAGUUGCUGCGUUAUUUAGACAAUCAGAAACUUGGAAGCUAAUGUGACAUAUUUUUUUUCGGUGUGAAAGCUCUUGACAUACAUCACGAUAAUUUCUAAAGGGACAAAAUGUUAUAUAAAAAACAUGGUGCCUUCAGGAGAUGGCCUCAUAGGUAGAACAGCCCCAGGCAGACCAGGAAGGAUGUCAACAGUGUGGACUUCCCAAGGGAGAGGACCAUUUCCUUCCAGUCUUAGUCCACAGGGGGGUGGUCCCAAGCAACAUGGAGCACACUCAUUACAACUUCCUACUCUCUCAUCACGGAAGAAAUGCUCUUGGAUUCACCUGCCUGGCUGUAGGCUGGGCUGGGCCAGGUGAAGCCCACUAAUUGCAGGAUCAUCUCUCAGCUGGAUGAGCAAUAUGGAGAUCACAUUCAGAGGAUGCUACCAGAGAUCAUGGUGCUGUGCAAACCAGGGGGAGAAAUGGGGCUACAAUUCUACCUCUGCUCUUGCAAGUUAGUUUACCUUCCACAUGUAUUCUUGAUUGGCUCGUGGACAAGUACAAAUAGAAUGAGUGGUAGCCAUUUUAAGGAAAUUCCUAGCUUUGACUCUCAGGUUGCCCUAAAGUGAGAGUGGGAGGCAGGUCAUGGUUGACUGUACCUGAAAUUCUACCUUCAGUACUUUCACUACAACUAAAAUACAAACAUUAACACAUUGAACUUCCAAGAGUCACCGCUAACUUAGGGCAUAUGGAAGUUCUGAGAAUUGGUUUUGCCGGGUGGGGGGAGGAGGAGUAUAGGAUUUAAGAUCCAGAUGAGGGACAGGGGCCUAUGGGACAGGCAGAAAGAUAAGCCAGAGAAAAUUCCAGAUAGAAAGUACCAUACUCUGUGGAUUUGCCCUCUUCUCUGCAUUUCUUCUUAAUCAAAAGGAAAACCAUCCCAUCCAGGAGAAGAGAAAGCGGCUGGAGACUGGUGGGUCAAGGGGAGUGUUCCUCUCCUAACAAGCAUUUCCAGUCAGCAGGCACAGACUCUAUCCUGAGGCCACCUCUACCACAUGUACCAAUAGCAUGACCUUUAGCAAAUUAUUUAACCACAGUUUCCUUAAAUGCAAAGUGGGAACAACAAGAAUAACAUCCUCAAACUGAUGUUGAAAGAUUUCAUGGGCUAAUUACUUAGAGCAGUGCCAGCCAGGUGAUGAUGGUUCUACUCAAAUAUUAUCACAGCAUCCUCCUCUUAUCAUCACAGCUAACAGUUUAUACCAAAUCCCCACUGCCAGCUGCAGGAGUAGAAUCCCCCGGGAUACUUUUCCCAGGACAGCAAAGCAACUUUGAAUCACAAGAGUUUCCUGUGCUCCCUGCUAUGUGAUCCUAGACAGGAUCCUACACCCAACACUCACUCACCCCAGAAAAGGCCAGCAUACUGUGCCAUGCAGAGAAGGAAGUCCAUUGUCUAAGUGGAAAUCACCUGGAUUUAGAUGGUGCCACCCCCCCACAAGCUCCACUAAGCGUUCACAGCAGGGUUAACAAGUACCAAGGAGAUUUCAAAGACAAACUACUGGUAGGGGCUGCCAGGAGAUUGCUGGGAAGAUAAUGCGGAAGCCCUACGAGGUUAGCAGCCAACUUGCCUCCUUGAAGAGAAAGCCACAGAGCCACCAAGAGGAAAGUAGCACUGGGAGGUGGGGAAAGAGAUCAACUGUGACUGGUAUGAUUUGGGCUGUGGAUCCAGCUGUGCUGAAAGUCAUAUUUACCCUUGGCCUUUUCAGAUGUGUGGACUAAUAAAUUUCUGUUGAUGAUAAUUUAAACUGAGAUUCUGGUAUGCCUGGCUGGCUUGACUGGUGGAGCAUAUGACUCUUGAUCUCGGGGUUGUGAGUUCAAGCCUCACGUUGGGUGUAGAGAUUACUUAAAUAAACAAACAAACAAAAAAAUAAAAUAACUGAGAUUCUGAUUAGUAAAACAUGCAAUAUGCUGGAUGCCAUGGAUGACUGGUAUUUUUAACAGUUCUGUUUCUCUCCAUCUUAAAAACAACUCCUUGCUUUUCCUACUCACUUCCUUUCCCAUUUUCCAUUUUUCCUCAGAUUUUCCCCUCAAUCAGAAACAAAUAUAAGAAAUUUCUGCUAACCGUCCAACAUGGUAUUUGUUCUUCAAAGACCACUGUCAAACCUCUCCCCAUCUCAGAGGACAAGGAGUUCAGCCACAGGGAUGAGCUCAGCAAGAACCCAGCUAAGUCAUCAAGCUGUUGAAGGAAAGGCCUGCCACUUCAUCCAUCCAGACAUUGACAUUCUCGUGUGACCUCAUGGAGCAUGGUCAGAGCUCAACAAGCUACCUGUGACUCUGCGAUUAAGUUCUGGCCAAUGCGAUGUAAGGGGAUGUGUCAGGUGGGACAUAUGGAAGUUUCCUUAAAAGAAAACGAUCUCAUUCUUUGUCCCUCCCCCCUUCCGGCUUCUUGGAAUGAGACAUGAUGGCAAGAGUACAAGCCAUAUCUGGAAUCAUAAGAAAAUAGGCUAAGAAUGAUAGAGCUCAAGGGGAAGACACCAGGGCUCCUCAUGACAUCAUGAAACUAGCACAUCAACCCUUUACUACCUACCCCCACGUUUCUUCCAUGUGAGAAAGAAAGCUCCAUAAUGUUAAGCUACAUAAGGUGAGUCUUUCUCUUACAUUCUCAUUCUAAUGAAUACAGCAUCAAUCUCUUACUCUAGCAGUUCACCUACCACCUCAACCAAGGUACAACCAGAAAAACUCUACCCAGAGCAUCUGUCCCCUAAGUAUUCAGGAACCAAACAGGGCCUGAAACAAUAGGUAGUGCCAUUUAUGUGUUCAUUUACGAACCACUGCUCCAAAUGUUUUAUAUACAAUAUUCUAUUUCAAUCUCCCAACAAACCUACAUGAUGGGGACUAUUAUAACCUCACUUACACAAAUGAAGACACUGAGGCACAGAAAAGGACUAAGUACCAUGCCUGAAGUCACGCAAUUAAUACGCGGUAGAGCCAGAACUCAGAUGCAACAGUGUGACUCCAAAGGAUAAGUUCUCAACCCUGCUGCUCUCUCAUGGGACCAAAGGGACAUCAGACACUGGACUCUCAGAGGAGCUGGCUUCUUAGUGGCUCAAACAGCUUCCCCAUCACAGACCCUUAGCCAACUGCCCUCAAGGCCAAAAUGACUUUGGCCUCUCCAGAAAUCAUCAGAAGGCCCCAAUAGCCCUUCUUGUCAUCAUACUAACACCAUAUCUUAAGUAAAACCAAAUACAAAUCUGAUGCCUAAGCAUAAAUGUCUGCCUUAUUUUGUAGGUCAAAGCAACAUUCAAAAAUAUAUUCAAAAGGAAUACCCAGAAAAUCUCUGUCUCAAUCCCCCUCACGAAUUCCAUUCAGCUACUUAGAUGCCCUGGACAGAGUAGGGC